GUGCUCUCCUCGGCAGCACAUAUACUGAAGCUAUCACCAGCCAGAGGAGAUUGGCAUGGCCUCUGGGCAAAGGAUGACAUGAAGCAAACUCAUGAAGCAGUUCCUAUUUUU
Molecule: small nuclear RNA, 111 nt
Filed under: Vulpes vulpes (red fox)
Lineage: Eukaryota; Metazoa; Chordata; Mammalia; Carnivora; Canidae
Source: RNAcentral